GCGGGGUGCGAGUGGCGCAGUCGGAGCCCGUUGCGGCCCCUGAGGAAGCGAGGAGGCGUCGGCGUCGGCUGAGGCGGGCGGACCGGCGAGGCGAGGCGGCGGCCCCAGGCCCGAGGGACUCGGGAGCUCGAGCAGCGGCGGCGGCAAGACCUCUCCCCCUCGGAGGCGGCGGGCGGAGGCGGCGGGAGCGGUGGUGCCCCCCCCCGGGCACGGGGCCAUGUACAACGGGAUCGGGCUGCCGACGCCCCGGGGCAGCGGCACCAACGGCUACGUCCAGCGCAACCUGUCCCUGGUGCGGGGCCGCCGGGGUGAGCGGCCUGACUACAAGGGAGAGGAGGAACUGCGGCGCCUGGAGGCUGCCCUGGUGAAGCGGCCUAAUCCUGACAUCCUGGACCACGAGCGCAAGCGGCGCGUCGAGCUGCGAUGCCUCGAGCUGGAGGAGAUGAUGGAAGAGCAGGGGUACGAGGAACAGCAAAUUCAGGAAAAAGUGGCGACCUUUCGACUCAUGUUGCUGGAGAAGGAUGUGAACCCUGGGGGCAAGGAGGAGACCCCAGGGCAGAGGCCAGCGUGAGUGUUGCGCUCUCCCUCGAUGACUCUGGACUCUACUCUGGCUGCUGGCUGCUGCUGCUGUCCUUUUCCUUACAUGGGACUUCCUCCCUGCUUUCGUCUGCCUUUCCCAUGCCUUAUUUGGCUCCUGCUUAUACUUGUGUUCUGAAUAUGGCUCUGUCCUUUAUAUUUCCUUCAGACUUUUGCCCUUCUUUUCUCUAGGGUCACGGAGACUCACCAGUUGGCAGAAUUAAAUGAGAAGAAGAAUGAAAGACUCCGUGCUGCCUUUGGCAUCAGUGAUUCUUACGUAGAUGG
Molecule: small RNA, 861 nt
Filed under: Pan troglodytes (chimpanzee)
Lineage: Eukaryota; Metazoa; Chordata; Mammalia; Primates; Hominidae
Description: retained intron
Source: RNAcentral